GCAUAGUAUUGUUCAAAUAAGUUGAAGAUGUACAAAUUUUCUUAUAAUGGAGAGAAAUUGCAACAUCUUUCUACUUGUUCUUGGCAGUCAACAUGUUUUGUUGUCAGUUGUUUUUACCGCAAUUUUGUUCAUCUCAUAAACCCAUUUGGGUUCCAGGUUUUUUAUUUUGUCUUCUUAUCCUUUCUAGGAUUUUGGGUUCUUAAGGAUUUAAAGCCAAGAACCGAGUUUAGGCCUAGGAACAUAGAUUUGUUUUUCACAUCCGUGUCUGCUAUCACAGUCUCAAGCAUGUCCACAGUCGAAAUGGAAAAUUUCUCCAAUGCGCAAUUAAUCGUUAUGACCAUCUUGAUGUUCAUAGGCGGUGAAAUUUUCACUUCCAUGAUUGGACUUCAUUUAAAGAGGUCCAAGAUUAUAACAUGGAAUAGUGAAGGAAAAGGAACUACUGUUGAUCUCACCAAUUCCGUUGAUCAAAUUCAGUUAAGUAUAGAGCCAGUCCCAGACAAUAGAGCACACCCGCUCGAGCCUCAAAAUUAUGUCUCAUCACCAUAUUAUAACAUGCUUAACUACAAUUCAAUCAAAUUUUUGGGCUUCGUAGUUUUGGGUUAUCUUCUGGUAAUUCAAAUAUUAGGUGUUGCAUCUGUUUUAAUGUAUCUAGCCCUUUUUUCAAGUGCAAAAGAUAUACUAAGAAACAAGGGUAUCAAGGCAUUAACUUUUGCUGUCUUUACAGUAGUUUCAACCUUUGCUAGUUGUGGUUUUGUGCCCACAAAUGAAAACAUGAUAGUUUUUAGCAAGAAUUCAGGGCUUUUGUGGAUUCUUAUUCCCCAAGUCCUUCUUGGGAACACAUUAUUUCCAUCGUGUUUGAGAUUUUUUUUAUGGGUUUUGGGAAAGAAAAUCAAAAAGUCUGAGGCCAAAUACCUGUUGAAGAAUACAACAAAAGUCGGGUACCUCCAUUUGCUCCCCAGCCUGCAUUCAUCGCUCCUAGUAGCCACAGUGCUCGGGUUUAUUCUCACAGGGUUCUUACUAUUCUGCUCUCUGGAGUGGAAUUCAGAAGGUUUGGGUGGACUCAAUACUUAUCAGAAAGUCAUUGGCAUUCUCUUUGAAACAGUUAAUGCAAGGCACAGCGGUGAAACUAUUGUCGAUCUGUCAACAAUCGCACCAGCCAUUUUGGUGUUCUUCGUUGUUAUGAUGUUAGUCUCUCUCUCCCCCUUUGUCACGCGUGUGCAAACAUUUUAUGAGUUCUAUUAGAUGCAACAUAUAAACACAAACAAAAUUAUGUAGCUAAAGCCACGUUCAUGCAUGAAACUGGGUAGUUGAUAGUGACUUAAAGAUUCAAUACAUGUAAAUUCGACUUUUGCAAAGGAAAGAACCAUACAAGAUCUACGAAAUUGUUAAUUGACCUGAAUUCUUCUUUCAACCACCACUCCAUUCUGUACUAUAAUUAAUUUCAUCUACCCGACUCCUAAAUACACCAGAAACUGAUUUUAAUUGGUAACUCGAAUCGAACUGAAAAAACUCGAAUAGUAUCAUUUUCGGCUGACAAUUUCUAAGCAAGGUCUUUUGUUAUGAAUUGCCAAAUCUAGAGAAAUAUAUUGUAGUCAGUUUGAGUGAAUUGCUUCUCUGGUUCGAGAAAAGAAAUUAUUAGAUAUGAUGCGAAUAUCUCUAACACAUACACACACCCAAAGAAGUCAUUUUAAUUUUUUAUAGUUUCCAAGUUGACACUGACUGCAUAUUUUAAUGUGUCCUUUGGGUUAGAAUAAUGAUGCAACUCUUAAGCCUCCUAUUUGAUGGGGUUUGUUUAAUUUUUUUUAUUUAUUUUGUACAUACUCAUUUUCAAUUAUACAUUCACACAAAUAAAAUAUUCUGCACUUAAAUUUAAAUUUUUUCUUACUUUUUAACCUCACAUUUUUCCAAAAAAUCCACUAUUCAAAAACAUUAUUUUGACAAAACAAUGGCCAUUAAACGGGAGCUAAAUUGUAUGUUUCAACACUCGAUAACUUGCAGCUGGCUUGUUAAUAGGACAAUAUUUUCAAUUUUUAAAGAUUAAAUCGAGGUCAAGGGGCAUAAGUUUGGAUAUGUUUAAAGCCAAUUUAUAGAAUUAUUUCUCGAGAAAGCCUUAUUAGUUGGAUUUCUCUAACUCUUAUAACUAGACAAAUUAGUUCCAAAAUUAUACAAAGUAAAUUCAUAUGCAGUUUUUAAUUUCAUAAAUAGCUUUUGGCCUUUCAAAAAAUUGUCUCAAAGGAGCCUCAAUACAGUGCUACAUGUUGAAUAUAAAUAAUUAACAUUUUUGUUAGAGAAGUAUUAACAAAUAAUUAUAAUCUAAUAUUCAUCACGUCCCAUUUAGUACUCCGCAGUAAUACUAAAACUGCACGACAAAUUUCAUAGCUAGAAUAACAACUGUAUAGAAUAAACAUAGGAAACAUGUUUCUCCGAUGAGCAUAUACAAAUAUUGUCGUAAUCCUGGUGAACUUAUUGGCAGGUACCUUCCACCAUAUACAUCAUUUCUACCAGUUAAGGGGGAUGAACAUAGCUCUCUUGAGCAUGAGGGGACAGAGAGAAGAAGAAAGUGGAUUGCUGAAAGUCUCAUAUUUUCACAGCUUUCUUAUCUCGUUAUCUUUAUUAUUCUCAUUUGUAUUACAGAAAGAAAGAGCAUAAAAGAAGAUCCCAUCAACUUCAGUGUGCUCAAUAUCGUAAUCGAAGUUAUAAGGUAAAAUUUUACUUCUCUCGGUUUCUUUAAUUUGUACCAUGAUUAUAUUUAAUCACAGUUUUGUUCUCCCAACAAAAAUUCGACCAUUAUUGACAGACUUAGGAAAAUCCAACGAUUACAACUAUUAGAAAAUUAAUAAGCACAAUCACCAUGAUUAUAUGUAACCUACCAGAGUACCAAAUUAAGUUGCUCAAUUUGGUGGCUUACCAGUCGACUUUCCAUUGUUGACAUGACAGCAAUAGUUGAGAAAAAGUCCCAUUUUCAUGAGAAAUAUCUGUUCUUUCAUACAUUGAUGGUCGGCAAUAAAUCUUUAAAUUGGUUUAUACAUUAAUUCAAAGCCAAAUAUUCAUUUUUUCACAGUCAUAACUACAACUUAUUUAUUAUCCAUGCAUUCUUAUUUAUAAAUUGAUUUAUAAAAUUGUCAAACUAAGACCAGAUAUUCCAGUAAUUUAUCUUGAUCACAAAUAACUCCUGAAUUGUAAUAAAUGAUUAAAUUCAAUUAAGGAGAUUUAAGUUACUCGGGUCCAGAACAGGAUCUGGCGGGAAGCACUUUAUCAUUGCCAUAAGAUUGCUGCCUCUUAGGUCUCCUCUACACAAUCAAGGGAAGUAGACUUUCUUCAUUUUCUAGUCUUAAUGGACAAGCAUGUUUGGGAAGUUGUGGAUUAGUGGGAAGUUCUUGUGACUCACUCGAAAUGCGAGGAGAAUGGUUUGGUAUAUUAUAAACAGUUUAUAAUAACUGAAGACAAAAACAGUUUAUUAAAAAAAAAAUUAAAAAAGAGAAACUAAAAUCUAAUAUGGUCCGCUUAUAUUUUUAUAAUGAAAGUCGAUAAUGAUGGAAGCAGCAAAAUUUUGUGUUAAUUUUAUUCUUUAUUAACUUGUGAUUUUGCAAUAUAAUUGCAGUGCUAAUGGAAAUGUGGGCUUCACAACUGGCUAUAGUUGUGAGCGUCAACUACGGCCUCAAGCAAAUUGUACGAACAAAUGGUAUGGAUUUUCCGGAAAAUGGAGUGAUGAGGGAAAAAUAAUUCUCAUUCUUGUCAUGUUUUCUGGAAGACUGAAAAAAUUCAAUAUGAAUGGAGGUAAAGCAUGGAAGCUCUUGUAAGUGAAAAAUGGCACAAAUUUUUGUACAAAUAGGCCAAAAAAAAUAAAAUAAAAAGUAUUAAUAAUACUUGGGUCAAUCGCUUUCCUUACUCUUAAAACUGUUUAAUUUAGAUCACGGGCUAUUUAAUUAAGUCCACACCAAAAGCUUGUUUGCCUUUACUUGUUUACAGCAGGCAAUUGAAAAACCCAAUGGAAAACCAUGAGUUAACACAAUUCAAGUUUAUCUCUAAUCCUUAUUCUUAAAACAAAUUUUGAGAAUAGUAAUGCAGGAUAGAAUCUUUUUCAUCUUUGAGGGUAUCUGGAGUCCCAAAAUAAAUAAAUAAAUAAUCUGUUCAUUAUGAUACAACACAAGCAAUGAUAUUCUUCUUGAAUAAAUUUGAAAAAUUAACUAAACUUGAUGCAUCACCAUGUCACUGUGUAUCUUCAUUGUCCCCAACUAACUAUUUUCUUGAGUGCGAAUUUAUAAAUCAAAUUAAAUGAUAUAACAAGCAACCUAGUACAACAACAACAUUAGGGGUGCAUUUGAUUGCAAACAUGAAAUUUGCAAAGAAAAUAAAUUCUAAGCAAUUCAAUUACCUAGAAUUUAUAUGCACAGAAAUUGUCAAUUAAGCCCUUGUUUGAGCCCCAUUUUUUUUAAAAAAAAAAAAAUUACAUUCUUAAACAGUGUAUUGACAUUAUUUUCACACACAUUCUUAAAUAAAAUAAUAUUACACGUAAAUCUAAAACUCUUACUUAUUUUUUAACCACACAUUUCCCAUCAAUACACUAUUCAAAAAUUUAUUUUCUCUCGAAAAUGGGGCUCAAACAAGACCUAAAUAUUUUUGAUUGAUUUAAUUUUCAACCUAAAAAAUAUUAUGAUUGUCCAUUUUUAUUUGUGUGUAAAUGAGAGAUAGGGGAUAGAUAAGAGAGAGAAAGAGAAAGUGAAUUCCCCGGAAAAUAAAAUUUUACUUUUUUUUUAUUUUGAAAAAAAUAUUGCCACAUGAUCAAAAAUAGGAAAAUAUUUUUCUUGAAAAAAUGUCAAUCAAACAGUCUAAAAGUAGGAAUUUGGAUGAAAAAAAUAACUUUUCCAUGAAAAAUAUUGACAAUCAAAUGUAUUUUAAAAGUUACAAUAGCUAGAUGGGACUCGACUCAAUCUCAACUACAAUGCCAAGGGCCAAAGCUCAUCAAAGUCGUGUGUGAGGUCUAAAUGGACGAACUUUUUGAUGAUGUCACCACAUUAACCCUUCAUGAGUUGUGCAACUCACUAAGCCCUAGAUUGGUGCCUAUUGUUUGUAAACUCGUUUUGCCACAGAAUUAUUUUCAAUCACAUACUCACAUAAUAAAAUAUUUUGCACAUAAAUUUUUUGUAUUUUUAACCACACAUUUUUCUACAAAUAUUAUUUCAAAUUCUCUCUCUCUCUCUCGAAAUAAUGGGUAUAAAACAGAGACUAAAUUUCAAUAUGGUGGCGUUACUCUAAGUUACAUAAUGUCCACGCAAUGGCUGACGACAAAAGCGUGCUUCAUUCCACCACUGAAUUGUCGGGCUAGCUUGUGGAGAACCGGUUGGAAUUUAUGGGACAAUUUUUAUGGGUGUGAAUUGGAAAAAUCUUAAAUUAGUGUGAUGAUUAGUCGUGACUCAUCAAAUGGAAAUGGCUUAUAUCAAGGAGUCAUUUCAUUUUGGAUUGGGUGUGACUAUUCGAAAAUGUACAUUAUAAAAUGUCAUGAAUGUGUGAUUCAAUGAUCCACAUUAAUUAAUGUAAAAAGAUGCAACAACUUCAAAAAGCCACUUGAAAAUCUAUAAAUGGGGCCCCUAAUGUCAAAUUUAUUACACCCUAUCAAUUCAAGAAAAAAUCAUUUCUAAAAUUCUAUUCUGUCUUCAAAAUAUUCUGAUGUUUUUAUUUUGCUGAAAUUAAAUUUCAUUUGAAUUAUUUAUGGAUAUAAAAUUUCGUCCGAGCAAUUUUAGUUUGUGUCUAUUCCCUGUACAAAAAAUUGUGAUUUAGCAAUAAGAUAUUUCGCGACAUAAAAAAUGUUGCCACAAAAAGUGAUUUAGCACGACACAUUUUUAAAAUUUAUCGGAAAGGUUGUGUGGAAAAAAAAAAAAGUCCCAAAAAAAUAUAAGUCGACAUAAAAAGUUGUUGUAAAAUAUUAAAAUGUGCAACAAAUAAUAAAGAUUGUCAAAAAAAAUGAUGGAAGCAUGGCGCCAAAAUAGUUUUUGGUGGGAAACUUAUGGCAACAAACUUCUUCUUCUUCUUCUUUUUCUUUUUUUUUUUUUUUUUUUUU
RNAcentral lists this long non-coding RNA (6058 nucleotides) under Olea europaea subsp. europaea. Lineage: Eukaryota; Viridiplantae; Streptophyta; Magnoliopsida; Lamiales; Oleaceae. The record is from RNAcentral.